Molecule: ribosomal RNA, 254 nt
Filed under: uncultured bacterium
Lineage: Bacteria
Description: partial 16S ribosomal RNA
Rfam family: Bacterial small subunit ribosomal RNA
Source: RNAcentral
UACGGGGGGGGCAAGCGUUGUUCGGAAUUACUGGGCGUAAAGGGCUCGUAGGCGGCCAACUAAGUCAGACGUGAAAUCCCUCGGCUUAACCGGGGAACUGCGUCUGAUACUGGAUGGCUUGAGGUUGGGAGAGGGAUGCGGAAUUCCAGGUGUAGCGGUGUAAUGCGUAGAUAUCUGGAGGAACACCGGUGGCGAAGGCGGCAUCCUGGACCAAUUCUGACGCUGAGUGAGCGAAAGCGUGGGGAGCGAACAGG